UUGGGCGUAAAGCGUGUGUAGGCGGUUUAUUAAGUCAUUUGUAAAAGAUCUCAGCUCAACUGAGUAAAGCGAGUGAAACUGGUAGACUUGAAUACGGUAGAGGUAAGUGGAAUUCCAUGUGUAGCGGUGGAAUGCGUAGAUAUAUGGAGGAACACCAAUGGCGAAGGCAACUUACUGGGCCGGAAUUGACGCUGAGACACGAAAGCGUGGGGAGCAAACAGGAUUAGAUACCCUGGUAGUCCACGCCGUAAACGAUGAGAACUAAGUGUUGGGGUAACACUCAGUGCUGAAGUUAACGCAUUAAGUUCUCCGCCUGGGUAGUACGAUCGCAAGAUUGAAACUCAAAGGAAUUGACGGGAACCCGCACAAGCGGUGGAGUAUGUUGUUUAAUUCGAAGAUACACGAAGAACCUUACCAGGUCUUGACAUACCAUUGACAGGUCUAGAGAUAGAUUUUCCCUUCGGGGCAAUGGAUACAGGUGGUGCAUGGUUGUCGUCAGCUCGUGCCGUGAGGUGUUGGGUUAAGUCCCGCAACGAGCGCAACCCUUAUUGUUAGUUGCUAAUAUUAAGUUAAGGACUCUAAUGAGACUGCCAGCGACAAGCUGGAGGAAGGUGGGGAUGACGUCAAAUCAUCAUGCCCCUUAUGACCUGGGCUACAAACGUACUACAAUGGCUGAUACAAAGAGAAGCAAGAUCGCGAGAUGGAGCAAACCUCAUAAAAUCAGUCCCAGUUCGGACUGGAGUCUGCAACUCGACUCCACGAAGUCGGAAUCGCUAGUAAUCGCAAGUCAGCAGAUUGCGGUGAAUACGUUCCCGGGUUUUGUACACACCGCCCGUCAAACCACGAGAGUUUGUAACACCCGAAGCCGGUGGCCUAACUAGUAAUAGGAGGAGCCGUCUAAGGUGGGACAGAUGAUUGGGGUUAAGUCGUAACAAGGUAAAGGGCGAAUUCGUUUAAACCUGCAGGACUAGUCCC
RNAcentral lists this ribosomal RNA (975 nucleotides) under uncultured bacterium. Its description in RNAcentral is "bacterial SSU rRNA". It matches the Rfam family "Bacterial small subunit ribosomal RNA", at positions 554 to 1533 of the family's 1533-position model. The record is from RNAcentral.